This is a long non-coding RNA of Aegilops tauschii subsp. strangulata, 1607 nucleotides long. RefSeq lists it as uncharacterized. NCBI's taxonomy places the organism in Eukaryota, Viridiplantae, Streptophyta, Magnoliopsida, Poales, Poaceae. The record is from RefSeq and is a predicted model, not a curated record.
GCUCGAGCUCGCCGUCUUUUCCAGCGCACUAUCCAACCACCGGCACCCACGCGCUGCCCCUUCCCCACCCCCGUAUCCGGCCGCCGCGCCGCCUCCUUCCCUAGGAUCCGCCCGGAACCGAUGCCGCCACUGCCUGCCGCCACCAAGCGUCGACGCGCGACCCCGCCGCCUACCUUUGGUACGCCGCCACGCCUCCCCUGCCACCUAGGCUGCCCCCGGCCUCGCCCAGCUCCUCUUCCGGCGACGACCCCCUGCCACACGCGCCGCCCCCGUCCCGACAACAAAACUGCGAAAUCCAGCCAACCACCACUUCCUGAACCGCCCCGCGCUCCAUCCGGGCAACCGCCGCCUCCCCACCACGUCCCGCUCGCCUCCCGACCAACCACUGCCUCCCCAUUCCUUCGGCUUACCUGCAGCUGGGGGAGGUCUCGACCUACACCUGGUCGCGCGCGCCGCUGCCGCGAGGUACACCACCUACAGUCGGCGCUACGACAACCACCCACCCGCCGCGCCGGCCAGCCCACACCAGUACCGUCUGCAUCCCGCCGACCCUCCGGCCCCCAGCGAGCCGCUGCCCCUCCCUCUCCCGGGUCCACCAGCCCCGGCGACGCACGCCGCCGCCCACCAACCAGGAUCCCGCCGCUUCAACUUGUUCUGAACGGGAGCUGCAGUGCUGGCCGGCUCUGCUCCAUCGAGACUGCACUCAAUCACGGCAGCUCCAGCUGAACUUCAGGAAGAUAUAACUAGUGUGUAAGUUGUAGGUAGUCUGAUAAGUGGGCUAGCGCAGCUGGAUGUUGCAGCAUAGUUUCAUAUGAGAGGGUCCAGGUGUGUGGUACCGCUACUCUGAAUUUGGUACGGACAUACUUCCGCCGUCUGUAGAUCAGUUCCCGUACAGUACCAAGCCUGGAAUUGGGACCGUCCAGUUGCCCCUCAAUAGCUCCUACUUGCAGAUAGGUGGAUUCGACAUAAACGUGGGUAAACAAGCUUUUACCCACUGCAUCGCCAGCUUGGGAAAACUUGGAGAGCUAUACCGCAGUGAGAGGGGACUUCAGGUUCUGAAAUCUGGCCCCCUAUCUUUCCCGACUGUAACGAUUUGCGAAGCAAUCCGCUUCGCGCUCUGGAGGACAUGGGUGACCAGCAAUAUUGAUGAAGAACUGGAUAGUCCGGUACCCAAGGAGCACAGUAAGUUGUUCAACUACUGGGCGGACAUUUCACGUGCUGUGGCGGAAGAUGAACCUUGGGACGGGAUUGCGGCAACUGAUCUGAUGAAGAAGCUCGGAGUUGUGAAGAGAGGUUGCUAUAUCAAACCUAAAAAAGUCAAGUGGGCGCAUUCAGCAAGUGGUUCGGGAAAGAAUUGAUCCUCCUAAGGUUAGCAUUGCCAAAGUGGUUCGGGAAAGAACUGAUCCUCCUAAGGUUAGCAUUGCCAAAGUGGUUCGGGAAAGAACUGAUCCUCCUAAGGUUAGCAUUGCCAGAUAUAUGAUGGGAUAAGUCUUAACUCAUUAUGUCUAAUUAUGCCUCUUUUCUGUAAUUAAGUACAAUAUGACUUGAGACUUUUUAUUAGCCUCCUUAUAAUCAAGUAUAAUACUAGUAUGACUUGAGACUUUUAA